UGGGGAAUAUUGGACAAUGGGCGCAAGCCUGAUCCAGCCACGCCGCGUGAGUGAUGAAGGCCUUCGGGUCGUAAAGCUCUGUGGGGAGGGACGAACCGCCGGAUGUUCAUAGCAUCCGGCAUGACGGUACCUCCUUAGCAAGCACCGGCUAACUUCGUGCCAGCAGCCGCGGUAAUACGAAGGGUGCAAACGUUGCUCGGAAUUAUUGGGCGUAAAGCGCACGUAGGCGGCAUUGCAAGUCGGAUGUGAAAUCCCUCGGCUCAACCAAGGAAGUGCAUCCGAAACUGCAGUGCUUGAGUACUUAAGAGGAUCGCGAAAUUCCCGGUGUAGAGGUGAAAUUCGUAGAUAUCGGGAGGAACACCAGUGGCGAAGGCGGCGAUCUGGGAAGAUACUGACGCUGAGGUGCGAAAGCGUGGGGAGCAAACAGG
This 428-nucleotide ribosomal RNA is filed under the name bacterium. RNAcentral's name for it is "partial 16S ribosomal RNA". It matches the Rfam family "Bacterial small subunit ribosomal RNA", at positions 355 to 776 of the family's 1533-position model. The record is from RNAcentral.